RNAcentral lists this ribosomal RNA (382 nucleotides) under uncultured eukaryote. RNAcentral's name for it is "partial 18S ribosomal RNA". It matches the Rfam family "Eukaryotic small subunit ribosomal RNA", at positions 592 to 976 of the family's 1831-position model. The record is from RNAcentral.
UGUAAGCGUAUACCAAAGUUGUUGCAGUUAAAACGCUCGUAGUCGGAAUUUGGCAGUUCCGGAAGUGUGCACGUCGUGUGCGCACUUUGCGGGGACUGCUUUUGUGGUCUUGCGUAGGAUGAGGCACUUUCAUUAGUGAACGUCCUCACGCAACCACUCUUUACUGUGAGAAAAUCAGAGUGCUCAAAGCAGGCAUUUGCCGUGAAUGUAUUAGCAUGGAAUAAUAGAAUAGGACUCGGUUCUAUUUUGUUGGUUUGUUGGGACUGAGUAAUGAUUAAGAGGGACAGUUGGGGGCAUUUGUAUUUCGGUGCUAGAGGUGAAAUUCUUAGAUUACCGAAAGACAAACUGCUGCGAAAGCGUCUGCCAAGGAUGUUUUCAUUGA